UGUUGACCUCGGAUCAGGUAGGAAUACCCGCUGAACUUAAGCAUAUCAAUAAGG
RNAcentral lists this ribosomal RNA (54 nucleotides) under Fusarium equiseti. RNAcentral describes it as "partial 28S ribosomal RNA". Lineage: Eukaryota; Fungi; Ascomycota; Sordariomycetes; Hypocreales; Nectriaceae. The record is from RNAcentral.